ACCUGGUUGAUUCUGCCAGUAGUCAUAUGCUUGUCUCAAAGAUAAGCCAUGCCAGUCUA
This 59-nucleotide ribosomal RNA is filed under the name Verticillium dahliae. RNAcentral's name for it is "partial 18S ribosomal RNA". Lineage: Eukaryota; Fungi; Ascomycota; Sordariomycetes; Glomerellales; Plectosphaerellaceae. The record is from RNAcentral.